UUACCAAAAACAUAGCCCCUAGAUCUCUAUUAGAGGUGACGCCUGCCCGAUGGUUUAUCCUAAGUUAACUAACGUUAACGAACCUGAACUCAAUGGCCGCGGUAUUUCUGACCGUGAUAAUGUAGCGAAAUCAAUCGUCACUUAAUUGCUGACCCGUAUCAAAGGUAUUACGAAUGUUCCCCUGUCUCAAGAAAAACCCCUGUGAAAUUGAAGGGGCCGUGCAUAUGCGGCCUAACACCCUGUAAGACGAAAAGACCCUAUUGAGCUUUACUAUACCCUUUUCUUAAACCCCUAAGAAAAUGAGAAACCCUCUACUCUUAGUUUCAGGAAAGGUUGGUAGUUUCGUUGGGGCGACGACCUUUCAAAAAGUAACAAAGGUUAGCGAAGGUUUUCUAUUUAAUGAUUUUUAGCCUGACUGUUUGGCUAAUAAGCCUACCAGACACUUCCGUGAGCCAUAGAUUUCCAUUUUAUCUUAAAAGAUAAAAUGCCAUAAUAUAAAAGUUACCAUAGGGAUAACAGCGUAAUUUUGUCGAAGAGCUCUUAUCGAUGACAAAGAUUGCGACCUCGAUGUU
RNAcentral lists this ribosomal RNA (572 nucleotides) under Haliclystus stejnegeri. RNAcentral's name for it is "partial 16S ribosomal RNA". It matches the Rfam family "Bacterial large subunit ribosomal RNA", at positions 1804 to 2533 of the family's 2925-position model. The record is from RNAcentral. Lineage: Eukaryota; Metazoa; Cnidaria; Staurozoa; Stauromedusae; Haliclystidae.